AAUGAUAGAAAUUGUACUUAUUUUCUAUAAUGUCUCGGCGUCCCUGCAACACAAAGUUCUUUUGAUACCUUUAGGACAGUAAUAGCAGAUUUGUUGCUUGAAGAUAGAAAGGUUUUAGCCACCUGAUUCCUGUUGAUGUUUGAGCUACCUCAUUGUUUAUGUUGAUGCAUUGUCCUUGUUGUGACAGCAUUGCUAACUAAAUGCUCAUAUUUUCUUCGGUUUAAUGAUGUGAAGGCACAUGUGGAGUUGUACUACAAGAGCAAGUGGCUGUUAGAUUGAGAAACUUGAGGCUACCUUUCAGACCUCCCAUGGUGCUCUAUCAAUUUGUUCUUUUCUCCAUUCUCUAAAAACUUAAUAAUUGGUCACUUACGCGUAAAAUGAUGCAAUUCCGAGUACUCUGAUGAGACGUGGAUGCUAGAUUGUUAUUUCUGGUUCUUUGUGGCAUUCCAUUACUUGCUUGACGGCAGAUAAUUUUUGCCAGCUGAUUUGACUCUAGAAUUGAGCUAGUUUUUUUUUUUUUUUUUUUUUUNNNNNNNNNNNNNNNNNNNNNNNNNNNNNNNNAUAGCGCACAUUCCACUAAUGCAUUAUUUCCCCCAGAACACUCAUAUUGGCUCUUUUGAUUAUACAAGUGUCGGAAGGGGAUGUUUCCAAGUACAGAUUAGCUCAAAGAGACGAGCCUGCUUGUGUUUAGUUACUCCCUCCGUCCCAGCCAUUUGUAUACAAAUGGUUGGGACACGGAAACUAAGAAAUUGUGUAAGAAUUGAGUAAAGUUGGAUGAAAAAUGGGUAUAGUGGUGGGAUCCAUUUAUAUUUAAUACUCAUAUCUAUACUAUACUAUUAAAGCCGAAAGAUUAAAAGUUUGGUCGGUCGGUACUUGGGCCAAAAUACGGGCCUAUCUAUAUAACUAAUUAUUCUUUUUAAUUUGGGCCAAAUUACGGGCCUAUCUAUAUAACCAAUUAAUAAUUCUUUUAAAAUCGUCGGUACUUGGGUCAAAAUACGGGCCUAUCUAUAUAACUAAUUAUUCUUUUUAAUUUGGGCCAAAUUACGGGCCUAUCUAUAUAACCAAUUAAUAAUUCUUUUAAAAUCGCGGUACUUGGGUCAAAUACGGGCCUAUCUAUAUAACUAAUUAUUCUUUUAAUUUGGGCCAAUUACGGGCCUAUCUAUAUAACCAAUUAACAAUUCUUUUANNNNNNNNNNNNNNNNNNNNNNNNNNNNNNNNNNNNNNNNNNNNNNNNNNNNNNNNNNNNNNNNNNNNNNNNNNNNNNNNNNNNNNNNNNNNNNNNNNNNNNNNNNNNNNNNNNNNNNNNNNNNNNNNNNNNNNNNNNNNNNNNNNNNNNNNNNNNNNNNNNNNNNNNNNNNNNNNNNNNNNNNNNNNNNNNNNNNNNNNNNNNNNNNNNNNNNNNNNNNNNNNNNNNNNNNNNNNNNNNNNNNNNNNNNNNNNNNNNNNNNNNNNNNNNNNNNNNNNNNNNNNNNNNNNNNNNNNNNNNNNNNNNNNNNNNNNNNNNNNNNNNNNNNNNNNNNNNNNNNNNNNNNNNNNNNNNNNNNNNNNNNNNNNNNNNNNNNNNNNNNNNNNNNNNNNNNNNNNNNNNNNNNNNNNNNNNNNNNNNNNNNNNNNNNNNNNNNNNNNNNNNNNNNNNNNNNNNNNNNNNNNNNNNNNNNNNNNNNNNNNNNNNNNNNNNNNNNNNNNNNNNNNNNNNNNNNNNNNNNNNNNNNNNNNNNNNNNNNNNNNNAAAGUUGGUGAAUGGGUUGGUAUUCAACCCACGGAGCUCUUGAAUUUAUAACAUGUUAUACUAUAGUUUUUUUUAUCAUUUAUUAAACCAAAACAUUAAAUUCAAAUUAGUAUGAUGGGUCGGUAUUUGGUUUCAUGCGUCUCUUUAAACUAUAAUAUGUUUUAUACCAUAUUAUGAAUUAUUAAUAACGAAAUAUUAAAAAGGUUGAUUGGUUAGUUUAUAUAUGAGUUUAUAGACCUUCUUAAAUUAUAACAUGCAAAAAAAAAUAUUUUAACAUUCUCAUUAAAAUAUAUAUGUUCGACCUAAUAUUUAAUUAGCCAUUUGACGGACUUAACUAUGAAGAAUUUAUCCAACUGCUAAAUAAAAUAUUUAUUUAACCACAUUAUUCUAUCAUAAUUUUAUUUUUACAAUAAAAUUAGAUAAAUUUAAGAUAUAUAAAAUAAAAUAACAAAUAUGUUAACCUCUCGUGCAUUGCACGGGUUAUAAGCUAGUGAUUAUAUAAUGGAGAUAGGGGAAGAAAGUAAUUUGUGUAAUGAUGUUUUAUAUUAUAAAAGUUUACAAAUUUUGGAAUGUAUACGAUUGGUGGGACGUCCCAAAAAAGAAAUGGUAUACAAUUAAUUGGGACGGUUGGAAUACUACCUUUGGACUGUAUUCAUCAUUUUCUUCGAGAACCGAGGUACUUUUGUAGGGUAGAUACCAUGUCCCGGGUCCGUAUCCACUGAAUCCAGCACUGCUAAGUUUGUUUAUCUCGGUCCCUAAGCUGAAAAAUAUCUGAUUAUGUAAUAUGUUAGGGCAUUUCCAACCAUCACUCUAAACUUUAUAUUUCUUCACUUUUAACUUUAUAAAUAGAGCAAUUCAUCUCCAAUCAUCUAUUACUUUAUCUUUAUAUAUAAAGUCAUGCACUAUCCUACUCUAUAUAUGAAGUUGAACUUGAAGCAAAAGCACAAAUUGCUUUAUUUAUAAAAUGAAGUAAUGGUUGGAGAUGGAAUAAAGAUAUAAAGUGAAAAAGGUGAAAAUGAAGAUGAAGUUGCUUUAUUUAUAAAAUUAUGAUUGGAGAUGGUCUUAGAAACCGAUUUUAAAGUCAGAAAUUAAUUUAAAACUAAAAGUUUUUGAAUUACUUUUUUCAUUGACUCUUUUUAUAAAAGUAUUCAUAAGUUAUUCUAAACCACUUUAUUUUAUUAUUAUAUUCUUAAUUAUCUAUAAAUCAUUAAUAAAUCAUAUUUAUCCGAACAAAUAUGUUAAGUAUUUAACACGAUAAGUAAUAAGUCAUAAUUUUAAAUUCAGUUAAACGAGUUCCGGCAAGCAGGACUGCUUUUUACGGUGUGAGAUGCAUUUUUAGCAUCCAGAAGCACACUGAUAGUUUAUUACCAGAAAUUGUAAAAGACUAAAAACAACUCGACUCAUGAAAGGUGUGUCUAUAUUAUCAAAUCAGAAUAAAUAAUUUUCGUCGCGAUUAAAAUAGGUAAAUCUAAUCUUCACCUAACCCUUGAUUUUGACAGGGCUUAAUUUGCUUCCGUGUUUAGCUUAGCCGAUAAUUAGCGAUAAUUAGCAUUAUAGUUAUUUUUCUCUGCCUUUUUGUACGCGUUUUAUGAGCUCAGCUCCCCCUCCAGUUCACGUACCUUGAUAUUUUAGCCCACAAGAGUUACAAACUCUAAAUAUUGAUAAUUUCUCUCUAAUCGGAUUUGUCUAACUAUAUGCGCUUUAUUUGUCCACUAAUCAACGAGUUUACUUUCUUAAUUACGUGUUUAAUGAGGGUUCCUCUCUUUAUUGAAAGCUUUUUUCCUACAAUAAUAAUAUUUAAAACAUUCCCUUAAGACCACUAUUAAAAACUGCAAAUAAGCGAUUUGGCCUUCCAAACAUGUGGAGCACACACAUCAUUACAAAUCCUUCUUCUCUCAUCAGCAUGACUACCGGAACACUAGGAUACUCGAAUACGAGAUACAUUGUUACUGCGAGAACAAUAAAUUUCUCGAUAUAACGCGAACAAAAAAAAAUAAUCUAAGAAAAGCACACACGAACUAACAAGGAUAACAACAAAAAAAUAUCUAAGAGCCAGCUCCAAGGACUUCAAUUGUAUAUUUGUAGAUAUGGUGAUAAAGGGAUUAGGCAAAAAGAAUAGUACAAUAAACACGAGUGACAAGUCUAUUAUAAUUGACUCUGCAGUGGCAAGAAUUACGGUGGAUCGAUACCAAACUUGGCUACUUGUACUUGGUGGGUUGAUAAUAAUCCGGUUGUUAAUAUCAACAGGCUAUAUAUUUGAAUACAUCGCAUAUAACUAUUAGGCGUUUUUAUUUUUCCAAAAACCAUGUUAAAUCAAACUACAUAUCUCCAACUAAAGGUAGACAACUCACAUUUUACAACUCACAUUUUACAACCAAUAGGCUAAAUUAUUCAAUUACAACUUUAGUUUGCUUCGACCAUACGAGCUUUCUUUGACUACAUUAAUUAAGCUGCACAUGGACUCAUAUAUUUAUUUUUGGUAUGUACCUCAUUUAUACUUUUAACUUAUCAAAUAAAAUUUUUUUAGUUAAAUUAGUCAACAUAUGCAAUCACAUUAAAAAUAUAAUUUUUGAUCUAAAAAAAGUGGGAAAACAGAUUUUUUUAUCACUAAAUUAUUUUCUUUUUUAGAAAUUUGUUACCGAACAAUUAUUUUACUCAAUAUUAUCACUUAUGUUAUGAACGUUUGUGAUUUUAGUCGCUCUUUUAAAUUUUAUAAUGAAAAACUAAUUUUUUUUGUCACUCAACUAUUUAUAUUUUAGCAACUUACCACUAAAUUACAUAGUAAUUUUUUUUCAAGACAUUAAUGCUACGUUCGUAUCUGAAAUGUUAACUUAUUUUCUUUCCCAAAUCAUAAUAAUUUAAAGAUAUAUGUCCGUUACCGAGCAUAUAAUAGUCAAAUUAUUUAUAUUUACUAUGUCAUAUGUACCCAUUAGCAAAAGAAUCUAUGAUCAUAUUUUUUAAAGGUUACUUAUAAAAUUUAACAAAAAUACCGAAAAUAAGAAAUGUAUGUCACGUUAGUGGUUAUAUUAAUUAAGUUUAUUGUUUAACGGUAAGUUCUUGAAAGAGUCAAUUGUUUUGUGAUAAAAAAAAAUCCUUUUCUUCUAAAUAUUAACGGAACAAUUAACGAAUUGUUUAAAUUAUAAUAUUAAGAUUAUAUCAAUGAUAAAAACAAAAAGCUUUAUAGUUCAGUGGUAGGUUUCUAGAUAUAUAUACAUUAGGUGAUAAAAAAUUUAUUUUUCAAAAGAAAAUAAGUUAUAAUUUAAAGUUGUAAGUUAUUUAUUUUUAAAUUUUUAAAUAGGUAAUAAGAAGCAAUUAUAUACAUUUGCUUUGGAAAAACCACCUCACACUUCUCUAUUUCAAGAGAAAAAUUCGAAAACAUCAAAUCUGACCCAAAAGUUUAAAAAAUCAUAAAAAACAUAUCUACGAGUGUCAUCCUCCAUCAAAACUCUCACUAAAAAAGGUUUAGGAUUUGCCGCUUCAAUUGAGUUUAUCAUUGAUUAUUCUCAUUCUCCAACAAUUGGUGACCCGAAAUAAUAAGAUGAAGUCUGCGCAUAAUCAUAAAAAUCAUUAUCAAUAAAAGUAUUAUAAUAUUCAUACUUGGCCACUAUACAAGCAGCUAUCUUCACGUGUCAAGUCACGGCAGAGACUAACCAACCUAAUCUUUCCUCGAUAAACAAACUCAUCACCGCAGAGACUAACCAACCUAAUCUUCUCUCGAUAAACAAACUCAUCACAUAUUUCUCCUAUUUCUUCAAGUGUCCUAACUCAUGCUAAUAUAGACUCAACAAUAUAUUCACGCGAAUAGCAUUAUAAGACACAAUCGGUAAAAAACUUCAACAUAGCAAUGAAAUGUGAACGAGUCUAAAACAUGAAUAACCAUCUGUCUAUCAUCAACAUCAUCAAAAAAUAUUAUUUUCCAUCUUGAUCAAACCUAUAAAACAAAAACUCAAUAAAAAACUUUACUCGACCACAACUAAACCAACAUAAUCAAACUCGUCAUUAUCGUAUUAACACAAAUCAAACAAAAAACCAAAACCUCAAAUAUAUUGUGAAACGGUAAAUAUUUUUGCUGAAAAAUACGUUUGUUUGUUGGCCGUAGGUACUCAAAAAAAUAAAUUUACUCAACCACAAGUAAACCAACGUAAUAAAAUUCGUCAUUAUUGUAUUAACACAAAUUAAACAAAACACCAAAACACUGAAUAUUGUUGUUACACGUUAAACAAGGCGUAUAAACUAUUACAAUCUAUGUUUUAGCAACUUGCAAUUUAUGCCAGUAAGGCAGUAACAUUCAGUACACGACAACAUCAAUAUACUCAUAAUAUAUAAGCAUUAACUAAUAUGGCAGUGCACUAAUCUCGGUAAAACAUUACUUUCGUUCCAAAACAAGGUCUAAAUUAGAACCAAUUUGAGCAACCUGUCUGUUAGAAGCAACUGUUAGAAGCAACUCAGAUUGACGACAUAGAAAUCACUGUUCCUCCAGUGAUUCUUUUUAUAACAGAUUGACGACAUAGAAAUCACUGUUCCUCCAGUGAUUCUUUUUAUAACAGAUUGACGACAUAGAAAUCACUGUUCCUCCAGUGAUUCUUUUUAUAACAGAUUGACGACAUAGAAAUCACUGUUCCUCCAGUGAUUCUUUUUAUAGACACUUCCGUAAACAAUCUUCUAAAAUUACUUUUUUAAUUAAAACACAUUAUCCUUUUAAGAUUUUUUAAAAUUAUUCUUUUUAAUUAAAAUAUCUUAUCUUUUUAUAUUUCCUAUCUAAAAAAAAUUUCGAUCUUCUAAAAUAAUAUCGAGCAACAUAGUAAUUACAUUUUUAACUAAAACACAUAUCUUUUUUAGAUUUUCUUACUAAAAAAUAUCGGUCUUCUACAAUUAACACGGAUGACAUAUUUAUAAAAAUAUAUAUAAUUAUUAAUGAAUUUAUCAAAAAUACUGCUUUUUCUAAGUUUUUUUUUUGCGAUUUCACUAUCUUUUGAAAAAAUUGCAAAAAUACUAACUUUUUAUAAAAUAUUUGCAAAAAACACAUUAUCCUUUUAAGAUUUUCUAAAAUUAUUCUUUUUAACUAAAAUAUCUUAUCUUUUUAUAUUUUCUAAUUAAAAAAAACUCGAUCUUCUAAAAUAAUAUCGAGCAACAUAGUAAUUACAUUUUUAACCAAAAACACAUAUCUUUUUUAGAUUUUCUAAUUAAAAAAUAUUGGCCUUCUACAAUUAACACGGAUGACAUAUUUAUAAAAAUAUAAUAUUAUUAUAUAUAAUUAUUAAUGAAUUUAUCAAAAAUACCGCUUUUUCUAAGUUUUUUUGCGAUUUUACUAUCUUUUGAAAAAAAUUGCAAAAAUACUAACUUUUUAUAAAAUAUUUGCAAAAAUACGGUCUGCAACUAGAUGCAAACAGUGCAACUUCAGUUAAUUGGUCCCGCAGGGGUUGCAAAUAUGGUUGCAUCUGAUUGCAAGUCUGGUUGCAUGUAGUUGCAACAGGUUGCAUACAGUAUUUUUGUAAUAUUUUCAAAAGUUUAGUAUUUUUGAAAAAUUUUUAGAAAAGAUGUAGAAUUUUUGCAAAAAUAAUUUUGAACUCGUAUAUUUAUGAGGAAACCCCUUAUUAAUAAAUGACAUGUGAUAUUUUUCAACAAAAAUACAUUAAUAUUAUUUUUAAAUACUCUAAUGGUCUCACUUUAAAAGUACUAUUAUAAAUCUAUACUAUACCAUAAGUUAUUAUCAUAUUAUCAAAAUGGAAACAUGAAAAGUUUAGUUGGUCGGUUGGUGAGUCGCGUUUGGUGAGCCGGUUGGUAUUCGACCCACGAACCUCCUUAAUUUAUAACAUAUUAUAAUAUAUAUUUUGUUAUCUAUUAAACCAAAACAUUAUAAAUUAGAUUAGUAUGAUCGAUCGGUAUUUAACUUAUAAUAUGUUCCUAUACUAUAUUAUUAAUUAUUAAUUAUUAAUCAUGAAAUAUUAAAAGGUUGAUUGAUUGAUUUAUAUUUGGGUUUAUAGGUAUCCUUAAAUUUUAACAUGUAGAAAAACAUAUUUACAUAUUUUUAUUAAAAUAUAUAUGUUUCAAUUAAUUUUUAAUUAACAAUUUGGCGGACUUAACUAUUAAGAAUUCAUGUGCGAGUUAAGAGCUAGUAUAUAUGAAUACUUGAUCCUUAGAUUUUCUGCUAUAUAAGCUCUAUAUAGGGUCAUUCUAGUACUCGUUAUGAAAAGGAUUAGUAUACGCAAACUCUAUCAAUGCAACAUACUCGUCGCACGAUUCUUUGAAUUCCAAUAAGCAUAUUCUUAAUAGUUAAGUCCAUGCAUACUGCUAUGAGUAGUGAACGUAACUUUGAUUUUGUAGGUUCGAUAAGCACUCUGUUUUACCAGCAAUCAUUUGAAGUUCUAGUUUCCUCAUCUUUUGCUGCAGCGACCGCCAAUCGUUAUACUCUAGUGAUGUUGAGUAAAUGAUAGAAAUUGUACUUAUUUUCUAUAAUGUCUCGGCGUCCCUGCAACACAAAGUUCUUUUGAUACCUUUAGGACAGUAAUGGCGGAUUUGUUGCUUGAAGAUAGAAAGGUCUUAGCCACCUGAUUACUGUUAAUGUUUGAGCUACCUCAUUGUUUAUGUUGAUGUAUUGUCCUUGUUGUGACAGCAUUGCUAACUAAAUGCUCGUAUUUUCUUUGGUUUAAUGAUGUAAAGGCACAUGUGGAGUUGUACUAGAAUAGCAAGUGGCUGUUAGAUUGAGAAACUUGAGGCUACCUUUUAGACCUCCCAUGGUGCUCUAUCAAUUUGUUCUUUUCUCCAUUCUCCUCAAAGUUUAAUAAUGGUCAUUUCCUACUCUGAUGAAACGUGGAUGCUAGAUUGUUAUUUCUGGUUCUCUCUGGCAUUCCAUUACUUGCUUGACGGGAGAUGAUUUUUGCUAGCUGAUUUGACUCUAGAAUUGAGCUAGCUUUGUGGUUUACACAUUUACACAUAUAAUUUGAUUGUCCUAGUUGUGGUGGACAUGAAGAAGAUUCACAGGCAAAAGCGUACUAACGUUGGUGGGUUGGUUAUGACUGUUGUCGCUUUCUUUGUUCAUAGCGCACAUUCCACUAAUGCAUUAUUUCCCCCAGAACACUCAUAUUGGCUCUUUUGAUUAUACAAGUGUCGGAAGGGGAUGUUUCCAAGUACAGAUCAGCUCAAAGAGACGAGCCUGCUUGUGUUUAGUUACUAUCUUUGGACUGUUCAUCAUUUUCUUCACGAAUCGAAAAUCCAGGCGUUCGGGAAUAACAGAAGAUUGGACUCAGAUAAUUUAUUAUAGGAAAUUGUGAAAAAGAUUUGACUGAUGAAAGAUGUGUACUAUAUUAUGAAAUCAAAAUACAGUAAACAAUUUUCGUCAUGAUUAGAAUAGGUAAAUCUAUCCUUCACCUAACCCUUGAUUUUGACAUGGCUUAAUUUGCUUCCUCGUUUAGCUUAGCCGAUAAUUAUCAUUAUAGCCUUUUUGUACGCGUUUUAUGAACUCCCCCUCCACUUCACAGACCUUGAUAUUUUAGCCCUCUAAAGUUACAAAUUGUAAUAUAGUGUAAUAUAGAUAAUUUAUCUUUAAUAGGAUUCGUCUAACUAUAUGCACUUUAUUUGUCCACUAAUCAGCAAGUUUCCUUUCUUAAUUACGUGUUUAACGAGGAUUCCUCUCUUUAUUAAAAGCUUUUUCCCUACNCCUUAAGACUAUUAUAUUAAAAACUGCAAAUAUGGAAUUUGGCCUUCCAAAGAUGUGGAGCACACAUCAUUAUAGAUCCUUUUUAGUUCAUUUCAGAUUCACAAGGUGCCCAGUUCCCGUCUGCAUCCUCCUACUCUCAUCACCAUGACUACUAACACUGGGAGGUACUCAAAUACUAGAUACAUUGUUACUGCAAGAAUAAUAAAUUUCUACAUAAAGCGGGAAUGAAGGGAUAAAAAUAAAAAUAAAUAAAUUCUAAGAGAAGCACACGAACGAACAGGAAUAAGAUAACCAAAAAUAUCUAAGAGAAGCACACAGGAACUAACAGAACCUCAACGAGGUCUAAGUAACUAAGACAGCUCCAAGGACUUCAAUUGUAUAUUUGUAAGAUAUGAUGAUAAGGCGACUAGGCAAAAAGAAUACAAUAAACAUGAGUGACAAGUCUAUUAUAAUUGACUCUGCAGUUACAAGAAUUGCCGUGGAUCGAUACCAAACUUGGCUAGUUGGCUACUUGUACUUGGUGGGUUGAUAAUAGUCCGGUUUUUAAUAUCGACCAGCUAUAUAGGUUAUUUUUCAAAAACCAUGUCAUAUCAAACUACCCAUCUGCAACUAAAGGUAGACAAUUCACAAUUUACAAUCAACCCAGAAUACAUUUUUGACAAAAUUUUAGAAAAACAUUACCCACUACUUCCUCAAAUACGUUGAGUGUACAAACACAAUCAUCAAAAUAUAUACAAUGCAGGGCCUUCAAAUUUAUGCAAAUGCCAACUAAUCUCUAAUUAUCAUGUGAACUGUAAAACAUGAAACUUAAACAUUUACUAAGCAUGAAUUACUAAUAAAGAUUGUAUAUCAUCAUCCUCCUGAAGUACAAGAAAAAUACAUGGACAUCUGCUUACAAAUUUUAAUUUAUACAAAAGCGGAAAAUUAAUGUAGUCAAUUAAAGUGUCCAUUUGUAUUUUUACAUAUGUAAUAUAAUCCCUGCAUCCACUUGGCUCUCAAGUUGCUAGUGGAAAAAUGAAGGUGGCAUUGCCCCAAUAUGAUAAUAGCCGCCUCCCAACUUCAACUAUAAAUACUACUGGACUUCAUUACUAAACUUCACAUCCCACAGAUAUCUUCUACUUAUUUAUCUUCUCGUUAUCCUUUUGUUUCAAAAACUAGAACCCAAAAGUUAUUACCAACCUUGACUUACACAUGGGUUACCAAGUUCCUCAUAGUUUUCUACUCACUCUAAUGGUUUUCUUGCCAGCACUUUGUUACAGCCAAGACACCUAUAUCGCCUCUCGGGCAACUUAUUAUGGCAGCCCUGAUUGCUUAGGGACUCCAAGUAUGGACAAGUUCUAUCUUACUUUAUCUCUGCAUCUUCCCACAUGCAUGCUAGCAGUGUUUCCACUUUCCAUAGUUAAUUUAGACAAUUACAUGCCAAGUCUUUUAAAGCACUCCAUAAUUCUCUAAACAAAUAUUCAUGCAUGCACACUUAUAUAUCAUAUACACACAUGCAAAAAAUGCAAUCAUAAACUUUAAAAGAGAAUGAAGUAAUGUUGUAAAUGUCUCUCAGCUGGAGCUUGUGGGUUUGCUGGAUAUGGAAGGACUGUCAAUGGUGGUGAAGUAACGGGAGUCUCUAGACUUUACAGGAAUGGCACUGGCUGUGGGGCAUGCUAUCAGGUAGAGACUAUCUUUUAUUGCAGCAUUGGUAAAAUUGUCAUAUACUAGCAAAUAAAGUAGUUGUGCUAAUAGAACAAGUACAAAACAGUGAGCUCACAAGGAGUUCUCUAUUAAAUAGAAUUGAAAUUGACCACCAGCAGGUAUGUUACUUGAAAUUUUCCACGAAAAAUGAUGGUGCAAAGUUAAUAGUUCACCAUCACUUGCUACAAAAUUAUUCAUAUAUGUAUAUAUAUAGCUAAACACCAAUCAUCAAGUUCAACAUAUAUUGCGAAAAUAUUCACUAUCCACUUAUGGUAAAAUCUUUAUCAAAUAUCUCAGGUAAGAUGCAAGUCUCCAAAACAUUGCACAGAUGAAGGGGUGAAGCUAGUGAUCACAGACUAUGGUGAAGGAGACCACACAGACUUUAUUCUCAGUGUACGAGCCUACUCAAAACUGGCUCUUCCAAACAUGGCUAUAGAACUUUUUGCAUAUGGGGUAGUUGACAUAGAAUACAAGAGAAUUUCUUGCCAACAUCCAGGUUACAAUCUUAUGUUCAAAGUCCAUGAGCAUAGUAGGAACCCAGAGUACCUAGCCAUAGUACCAAUAUACCAGGCAGGCAUAAAUGACAUCACAUGUGUAGAAUUGUGGCAGGUACUUCCACUCAACAGAUAUCUUACAAUCUAUAAUGUUUUUUUAUAUAUAACUAAAUGAUACGUGUCUUGUCAUUAACUUUUAUCAAUGGAUGCAGGAGGAUUGCCAGGAAUGGAGGACCAUGCGUCAUGCUUACGGCGCUGUAUGGGACAUGCCCAAUCCACCAAAGGGCCCUCUGAACCUAAGGUUCCAAGUGAGUGGGAGUUAUGGGGAAAAGUUGGUGCAACUGAGGGGUGCAAUUCCUGCUGAUUGGAAGGCUGGAGUCGCUUACGACACUGCCAUUCAGCUUAACUAAUAAAGUUAAUAUAGAUAUCCCCACAUGUCGCUAGGAUACAUAUAUUACAAGUUGCUCAUCUUGUCCACAUACAUGUACUUUCCUAUAUUUUCUAGUUCCUUAUGUUUCUAAAGAGUGUUUUCGAGUUAUUGGUGUUAGGCUGUGUCAAAUAAAUAUGUAACCUAUUUGGUGAGCAUAAAUAUGUAUGUUGUGCAAAAGUAUUUCAUGUCAGAUCUUUCAGCUAUUGGAUAUCAGUACAUCAGAAUCAAAAGAAUAAAAUGUUCAGAUUUUUAAUCCAAUGUUGACAUACUUUGGUUUUAAAGCAGUUAACUGCAUAGCUAGCUUUAAGCAAGUUUAGGGAAUAAUUCUCUAAUUAGAAGUACCUUACAGUUGUGAAAGCAGGGGUCAGGCGUUACAAUGUAUGUCCUUAUUCCAUCAUAGUAUUUACCAGAAAAAUAAUGCCUAUAGCUAGAAACCAGCAAACUGUUUGUAUGCAUACAUUGAAUUUAUUAAAAUUAUCAUACAAGUAACAUCAUACUUAGCAAUACUGUUUUGCUUAAUAGUGGUUUAUAUUAGUUGAUUUUUGAGCAACACGUACAAAGACGUAGGACACCACCAUGAGGUGAAAUGAGUUUCACAAACUGGCACAAGAGCACAUGGUAAUUUAUCUUGUAUUAGGAAUAGAGACAAGGUAUGCAUACAACGUAACAACCCCAGGCCCUCUGAUCUACAAGAAGUAUACACUAGGUCGUGGUAGAUAAAUCCAAUCAUGAUAAUUAAUAUAUUCAAGAGUUGUAUUUCUUUCUUGUUUUAAGUAUUUAGAGCUUAAGGCAAGUAGUUUCCCACUCCAAUUUCUUCAUCAUAUCCACAUUUUCACAUCCAUUAACACUCUUCACUUUCAAAGGAUAUAAAGUAAGACAACGUUAGCAUUACAGUCAAACCAAAAUGAGAAGAGCCAAGGAUACCAUACUUCAAAGUUCAAACUAGCUAUUAUCCACAGAGAGACGGUUAAUUACAGCAGUAGGCGAACUAUAUAACAAAAGAUUGAGUACCAGACUGCAGCUACUUGAUGAUUCGUUCCUAGAUCCACUCUUUCUGCAGCAAAAAGUUAUAAGCCAUCGAGACGAGACACCUUAAGAAAGUCAAACAGUUGAGCUAUGCGGUUGAUGUUCCUGAAAACAAUAAUCAGAUAAUACAUGUCAAUAUAAGAAAAUUAUGAAUAAGAAUAGAAAAGCUUUUAACGAUUACAGGAGUCACAAACAACUAGUAAUUUCGAAACAACUAAGCUUACCUGCUGCAAGUAGCUACCAUUCUCUAUGACGGCUUAUAUCACAAAAGAAGUCAAUCCAUGACUUAAUUACCAAACCCCUCUAUUGGCCACCACCUAGGCCGAUAAAAUACCAGGCCAUUCUCCCUGGCAGCCUUCAUGUAAUCCGUAUCAGUACCACCACUGAAAACUAUCCCCGCAGAAGCCAGAAGAAUCUCAAACAUCUCACAAUUAAAAGGCUUGUUACUACUUUCUCUCUCAGCACGAUCCCUAACAGAACUCCUCGGAACCCAUAAUCCUUCAUUCUCUUUUUGCUCCUUAAACGAAUUUGGCAAUGUACGCCUCCCAGAAACACCACGUGAUGUACCAACACCUCCCCUAGACACAUCCCUAACCGCAUCUAAAUCCUCAGCAUUCUUACGACCAAAGCGCCCUCGAGAACUCUCACAUUUUGCAUUAUCAACCACGUUAUCACAGUUCUCCUCAUCUGACAAGAUAACUACCUCAGUGUCCACCAUUUCAGUGUCAAUCACAUUUUUCCCAUUAAAUUUCGAGUCAACCUUUUUUCCCUUCAAGUCAACCUCAUCUCCACUCUCAUCAUCAUCACACACAACACCUUCAACAAAAACAUCACCAACACAUUUCCGACCCGACUGAGGAGUUCCGGGUCGGAUCUCGGGUCCUGGAGCAUCACAGCUAGAAACAGACCGAGACUGAUGCUGCUCCGGAGGCGUAUGAAAGAUCUCUUCAUCCAUAUGCUCCGACUCACUCCCCGGCAGCGACACCAUCGUUAUUCCGGUGACUCGAACCGGUUCUUCCGGCUCCGGUUCUUCUUCCACAGGUUCGAACGCAAAACCAGAUCUCCCAAGCUUUUCCUCCUGGAGAAUGCUGAUUCGGCACUCAUUCGUGAUUGAUUGAUACGGAUCUUCGUUCAUGCUUCAAGAAAAUCGAGGAAUAUUUGAUCAAUUUGAAGCUGCGAGCUCAAUCUGAUUUUCUAGGGUUUUUAAUAGUGUGAUUUGGGGCUUUUUAUUCCCGCGCGUUUCUUUAUUAUUAUUUAUUUAAUAUAACUGUCAAAUCACGUUCCCGCCCUUUUUGUAUCAACGGUCAAGAUUAAGGUGCUGCAGUAGUUGUAGUACUACACUUGUACGAGGGCAGUAAUAAUUUGUGGUACCCAUUUUUACGAUUGAUUAUCAUAACAAAUAUUUUGCUAUUAUUUUCUCAUAAAAAAUUUAAUAUUUAAAUUGUUAUAUAACAAAUUAAAAAUAUAAAAUAAUAUAAUAUAAUGAGAUGGACAGAGGGAAAUAAUACCUAACAUCUGCAUGAUAAACAAAAAAUUAAU
Molecule: long non-coding RNA, 14558 nt
Filed under: Daucus carota (carrot)
Lineage: Eukaryota; Viridiplantae; Streptophyta; Magnoliopsida; Apiales; Apiaceae
Description: long non-coding RNA (DCAR_LNC001591)
Source: RNAcentral